Non-coding RNA from Caenorhabditis elegans, 21 nucleotides. NCBI's taxonomy places the organism in Eukaryota, Metazoa, Nematoda, Chromadorea, Rhabditida, Rhabditidae. The record is from Ensembl.
GACGAGGAAUUUUUACAAAUA